AGAGUUUGAUCAUGGCUCAGGAUGAACGCUGGCGGCGUGCUUAACACAUGCAAGUCGAACGGGGUUAUCAUUUUUGAAGCGAUUAGCUUGCUAAGAGUGGAAAUGUUGAUAACCUAGUGGCGGACGGGUGAGUAACGCGUGGGUAACCUGCCUUACACAGGGGGAUAACACUUAGAAAUAGGUGCUAAUACCGCAUAAGCGCACAGAGCUGCAUGGCUCAGUGUGAAAAACUGAGGUGGUGUAAGAUGGACCCGCGUCUGAUUAGCUUGUUGGCGGGGUAACGGCCCACCAAGGCGACGAUCAGUAGCCGGCCUGAGAGGGUGGACGGCCACAUUGGGACUGAGACACGGCCCAAACUCCUACGGGAGGCAGCAGUGGGGGAUAUUGGACAAUGGGGGGAACCCUGAUCCAGCGACGCCGCGUGAGUGAAGAAGUAUUUCGGUAUGUAAAGCUCUAUCAGCAGGGAAGAAAGAAAUGACGGUACCUGAGUAAGAAGCCCCGGCUAACUACGUGCCAGCAGCCGCGGUAAUACGUAGGGGGCAAGCGUUAUCCGGAAUUACUGGGUGUAAAGGGAGCGUAGACGGUAAAGCAAGUCUGGAGUGAAAGGCUGGGGCCCAACCCCGGGACUGCUCUGGAAACUGUUAAACUGGAGUGCAGGAGAGGCAGGCGGAAUUCCUAGUGUAGCGGUGAAAUGCGUAGAUAUUAGGAGGAACACCAGUGGCGAAGGCGGCCUGCUGGACUGUAACUGACGUUGAGGCUCGAA
RNAcentral lists this ribosomal RNA (763 nucleotides) under uncultured bacterium. RNAcentral describes it as "bacterial SSU rRNA". It matches the Rfam family "Bacterial small subunit ribosomal RNA", at positions 8 to 757 of the family's 1533-position model. The record is from RNAcentral.